GCGGAGGAAAAGAAAAUAACAAUGAUUUCCCUAGUAACGGCGAGUGAAGAGGAAAGAGCUCAAAGUUGGAACCUGUUUGGCUUAGCUAAACCGGAUUGUAAACUGUAGAAACAUUUUCCAGGCACGCUAGACAAAAAAGUCCUUUGGAACAGGGCAUCAUAGAGGGUGAGAAUCCCGUCUUAAUCUAAGUAGUUGUCUAUUUGUGAUAUGUUUUCAAAGAGUCAGGUUGUUUGGGAAUGCAGCCUAAAUUGGGUGGUAAAUCUCACCUAAAGCUAAAUAUUUGCGAGAGACCGAUAGCGAACAAGUACCGUGAGGGAAAGAUGAAAAGAACUUUGAAAAGAGAGUUAAACAGUAUGUGAAAUUGUUAAAAGGGAACCGUUUGGAGCCAGACUGGCUUGACUGUAAUCAUCCUACUUUUUUUGUGGGUGCACUUGCGGUCUUUGCCUGCCAACAACAGUUUGAUUUGGAGGAAAAAAAUAUUUGGAAUGUGGCCUUUUUCGGAAGGUGUUAUAGCCUUUUAUAUCAUACUCUGGAUUGGACUGAGGAUCGCAGUUAUUGUUUCCGCUUGUUUUUCUUUUGCUGAUAAAUGUUAAAAUUUCUGCUUAGGGUGGUGUUAAUGUUUAAAGGUAAAACUAGGAUGAGUAUUGUGAUAACUUAGGUGUUGGCU
This 667-nucleotide ribosomal RNA is filed under the name Chaetocladium brefeldii. Its description in RNAcentral is "eukaryotic LSU rRNA". It matches the Rfam family "Eukaryotic large subunit ribosomal RNA", at positions 50 to 639 of the family's 3401-position model. The record is from RNAcentral. Lineage: Eukaryota; Fungi; Mucoromycota; Mucoromycetes; Mucorales; Chaetocladiaceae.